This 433-nucleotide ribosomal RNA is filed under the name uncultured bacterium. Its description in RNAcentral is "partial 16S ribosomal RNA". It matches the Rfam family "Bacterial small subunit ribosomal RNA", at positions 29 to 507 of the family's 1533-position model. The record is from RNAcentral.
AACGAACGCUGGCGGCAUGCCUAACACAUGCAAGUCGAACGAGAGCUUCGGGUCUAGUUGCGCACGGGUGCGUCACGCGUGGGACGCUGCCUGUAGGCAUGGAAUACCUCUGAUACGUGGGAGCUAAUGCCGGGAAAUGUAUUCGGACAAAAGAUUUGUCGCAUUGAGGUGAGCACGGGUUGGAUUGGCUAGUUGGGGGGGUAAGGGCCUAUCACGGCGACGAUGGAUAGCUGGGCUGAGAGGCUCGACAGCCACACUGGGACUGAGACGCGGCCGAGAAUCCUACGGGAUGGAGCAGAGGGGAAUAUUGGACUAUCGGCUAAAUGCUGAUGCAGCUAUGCUGGGUGAGUGAUGAAGUCCUGAGAGAAGUAAAGCUCGUUUAUCCGAGAUGAUAAUGACAGUAUCGGGAGAAUAAGCACCGGCUAACUCCGUG